Long non-coding RNA from Calliphora vicina (urban bluebottle blowfly), 264 nucleotides. RefSeq lists it as uncharacterized. The transcript has 3 exons. The record is from RefSeq and is a predicted model, not a curated record. NCBI's taxonomy places the organism in Eukaryota, Metazoa, Arthropoda, Insecta, Diptera, Calliphoridae.
AUACUUUCUUAAUCAUCGCUCAGCUUAUGGUUGCUGUUACGCUAAAACGACAUCGACCACGUCAAGUGGUGGUGGUCGUGGUGGUGCUGCUGCUAGUGGUGGGGAAGAAUAAACCAAAAGUAGUGUGUAUUACAUUUAUAAAAUAAAGUGUAAGGAACAGCCAAAACAUAAAGAGAGAAAAAAAAUUAUUUUUAAAAAUUAAAAACGGAUAUGCCAGCCAGAGUCUCUGUAAAACCAAACCCUCCUUAGCAUAAUAAAUGAUUU